This 4444-nucleotide long non-coding RNA is filed under the name Homo sapiens (human). RNAcentral's name for it is "HSALNT0113822". Lineage: Eukaryota; Metazoa; Chordata; Mammalia; Primates; Hominidae. The record is from RNAcentral.
UAGCCACCCCAGGGAGCACCAGGUGACCAGGCGAGGUGCCUGCCAGGCGCAUUGUGUUCAUUGCUUUUUUUUUUUUUUUUUUUUUUUGAGACAGAGUCUUGCUCUUUCGCCCAGGCCGGAGUGUAGUGGCGCUAUCUCGGCUCACUGCAAGCUCCGCCUCCCGGGUUCACGCCAUUCUCCUGCCUCCGGCUUCCAAGUAGCUGGGAAUACAGGCGCCCGCCACCACGCCCGGCUAAUAUUUUUGUAUUUUUAGUAUAGACAGGGUUUCACCGUGUUAGCCAGGAUGGUCUUGAUCUCCUGACCUCGUGAUCCGCCCGCCUCGGCCUCCGAAAGCGCUGGGAUUACAGGCGUGAGCCACCGCGCCCGGCCAUUGCUUUCUUGCAGCAACUGGGGAUUGUUGAUUCGGGACCCCUAGUCGGAGGGUGAUUUACACGUCAGUUGCAGCGCGUUGGUCAAUGUUCCAGGCUGUCAGCUCGGCACCGCCCUCAGGGCUCAAGCUACACAGGGCAUUGAAAGCAGGAAUUCUGUCAUUACAGCCCCAGGAAAAUGGAAGAAGAGGAAAAUGAAAAAAGACAAAAGGGAUAUGAUGCUGGGCAAAAUCCCACCAAAAUCAGACGUAGGAAGGAAUCCAGCCCUUUUGCCCAGUAGAAUUAUGGGGGAAAAGGAGAAGCAAAUGGCGAGACACUUGAAUUCCAAGCUCUCCUCUUGAAGUGGAAGCCGUAGAGAAAGGAGGCAUGUUAGGUUGAAGAAAGAUGGUGAGGUUCCCAGAGACUAGCCACUUCAGGAAGCUCUUCUUACCCUUCGGGAUAAAGGGAGCAGAGAAGGAAAAAGCAGAGUCCAUGGAAUCAUGGGGACACACAGCAAUGCCAGAGACUUCUUGCCAAAGCAAGGAGCGAGCAGGGAAGAAAAGCUCCCACCUCUCACCUUCCAAACCUCAGGCUCCUGCUGGUGUCUCCCAUUAACCAAAACCACAGACACCAACCAGCAAGAAAGCCAGGGACCUAGAGUCAGUAGGGGUAAAUAGAGCCUUUCAGGACACGGAGAAGGGCAGGCAAAGGCACAGAUGGGUGUAGCCAGGGGCAGCAAGGGGAGAAUAACCAGGCACCUCCUUCCAUUCCAGCAUGAGGGCCUGGAAGCCCCUCUUUCUUGCACAUGCACAUGCCAUGCUGGGGAGCGGCAAUGGGAGUUCCGAAAUACUGAACAUUUAUCUAGAGACUGAGUCACUUAAAGCAACUGCUGAAAUUAUUGAAACAGACUGUUUUCUAAUCUAGACUAAAAUAUACUAUAUUUUUCUCUCUAUCCAUCAGUCCAUUGUAAUGAAAAUUUAAUCAAUUACUUAAAGCAAUAAAAGAAACUACAUUUUUAUUGUACAACUUACUGAAGUGUGAGGAAAUGGGUGGAUCCUUCCCACUUUGUAUCCUCUCUACCGUUCUCUACUUCCAAGGUAACUGAGGUGACUUAACAAUGAAACAAGUCAGAAAUGUCCUGAUAGAGACCAAAGGAAGACAAUAUUUCAGACUCCUCUGCGUCUGUAGCAGCAUGUGUUUCUAGGAUUGUUCUGGAAGAGAAAAUGCAGAAACAGCAGGGAGCAGAAGAUAAACAGGCAAUCCGUGACUCAUUAAAACAAGCAUUGGUCGCCAACAUUGUGGAGUGUGUGAAGACCCCAGAUCCAACUCGCCUAUAAACUUUUUUUUACCAGCUGGACUUAGCAUCUGCCAGAGUUUGGAAAGAGAGAUAAUCUGGUACAAAUGAUUUCAGUGUGUCGCAUUUAUUAACCUGCCACCUUACAUAACUCUGCUGAUUGGGAACUCAGGGAAAUGUUUGAGCAAUGACACAGCUUAUUGUUGGAAUGUUACAACUUUACUAAUAAAGAUGCAAGUUACUGUUUAAAAAAAAAUACAAAGACCACAGAGCAAUUGGAAAAUAAAAAUGAAGCAAAGCUAAAAAGCAUCAUGGUCUUGAGAAAUGUACGUGCCAGAAAAAUAAUUGAAAUUCAGUUUGAAUUUUGAUCAUUUUCAGUGCUUUACAUCAAUUAGGCAGGAAAAGUAUUUUAUUUUUAAAUAGUUGUCACAUUAGUUUGUCUUAACAGCUUUGAUGUAAAUAAAUGCCAAACUGGGAGCAUUAUCAUGUCCUUUCCAAACUACUUACUGUUCUAAAUGAAUGAUUCGCUUCUGUUGUUAAAUCUCUGACAAUUGCUAGAAGGGCAUUUUCACAGUAGAACUGAAGGAAAAGUAAAAUAGUGCCCAUUUUUGUUUAUAUACAAAACCGUGUCCAUUUUUGUCUUAAACAGCCUGCCUGGCUUCACAGUUUAUUAAAGACAAAGAACAUUACCCCAGGAAUAAAAUCAGUACCGAUAACCUGCAUACUUUUCAUUCUUGGGCUUUGAUUUACUUCCUUUUUUGCCUCAAAGUUUGCUUGGGAUCAUUUGGUCAAGAGGUGGAAACACCAAAGAGCAAUUUUCUUUUUUCUAUUUCUUAUCCAGAUCUCAUGCCAGUAAUUUCAAAUUAAUGAGGAUGUUUACUCUCUGGUACAAAAUUUGCACAUACUAGCUUAUAAAAUAUGGAUAAGCUGGUUUCCUAUAACAAAAUAUAGCCCUACCAUUUCAAAAAUGAAAACUGCAGAGACUUUGGAAAAAAAUCAGCUGAAGGAAUUCUUCACGUUUCACAAUGGUUAGCCUAUUAUUUGUAGUUUUGAAACUUUAUUGGUCCCCAAUCUAAUCUUUUCUGAGUAUAAAAACAUUAACAUAUGGUUUAACACAGCACAGGGCUGGAAAGUCCAUAUCCCAAAUGCAUAUUGUAUGCAGGGUGACAUUCACACUAAAUACCAUCCCUCAGGGUCUGUACUCCAUUUUACCUGGGAUUGGAGAGCCAUGAAAUCCCUGGAAAAGUUGUUCAUGAGUCUGAACCAAAUGGUGUGCAGUGUACUGAGAUACUAACAGUCUAUGCUUCUGCCAAAGGUUGCGGCUCAAAUGUCUCUCUAAGUAACAUUAAAAAUCUGCUGCUUCAUGCCUAUGAAUUUCAAUAUUUAUAGCAUUCAAUAAAACGGUCCACUGUCAGAGAGAGAUGUGCCACUGUGCACUCUCUGAGCAGAUGGGCGGCAAUAUGGCACAUUUACAUGGACCAGCUGUGGAGCGCAGAAAUGGAUGCUGGUCAGGGGCAAGGUGCAGGCCCCACAUCUGGAAUUCUAACCGACUGGCCUCGGUACCCAUUGUAAACUUUCCUUCCACAGGGUGAGCUCUGAUUUAGAGCUGCUCACUAGUGUGCCUUAAACUGCAUCAAGAGUCCUCAUUAACGCAAGAGACUAGAGGGAGGUUAGGGCCUGGAAUCCCUCUGUCGGGCAUCUGUUAGAGUCUGUGGAUGGCACUCUGUAGUCGUUAUAGAUGCACCCAGGGGAAGAUUCUCUCAGGCAUGAUGCAGUGUUCUCUAUUUAACUGAUUUUAUACCCCCAAAAAAGAGGUUUUUAUUAUAAACAGAGCUACUUUUUCCAUAUCCCCUUUUCUAAAUGGAUCAGAAUAUACCUCAGAGAAAGGACAAUUUCUAGAAUAUUUAAAAAUUUCGUAGAAAUGUCGAAUUCUUUUUUCAAGUCUCAAAUGGAACGUUGUCUUAUUUUGGGUAGAAUCAGAAUGGUUCAAAUGCAGUUAGAAGUUUCUAAAAUAUAUGAAAUUCUUAGACUAGCUGUUUUCAUUGUAGUAUCACUAUUCAGACAAUCAAAACAGCUUAGUUGUGUGUCAUUUAAAUAAUUCAACUGACUUGAUAGAAAGGUAAGCUGCUUUUGACAUUUUAAAUAUGAACAAGAAAUGGUUUGUUACAUUCAAAUACUCAUCAGAAAUAACAUUCCUGUUUCAUUUUCAAUAAAUACUUUUAAGAGAAAGUUCUACUCAUUCUUUCAUUUUGUAAAAUAAUCUUUCCCACAUUUUCCAAUUAUUGACUAAGAUGUAUUUGGUCUUCAGUGGUCCCAUCUCUUGAAUAGUUGUUUAUAUCCUUACGUUACUGAGUAUUCAUUUUCUAUGACAAUCUCUCAAGAUCUAUUCCAGUCUCCUUUCACCCCCAAGAGAAACGCAGGUAUUUUAAGCAAGUGAGACAAUACAACUCGUUAUCAAAUGGGUUAUGGUAACUCAAUCAUGUAAUGUAUGGAUAUUUUAGGGUCUCAUCAUUCAACACUCAACUUUAAAACUACUCUGAAAUCUAAACAUAGAUAUGUAUUUAUGCUAUUUGGCCUCAAUCUUCAAAAAGGAAAAUUUUGGCCAGGCGCGUUGGCUCACGCCUGUAAUUCCAGCACUUUGAGAGGCCGAGGGGGGCAGAUCACCUGAGGUCAGGAGUUCGAGACCAGCCUGGCCAACACGGAGAAACCCCAUCUCUACCAAAAGUACAAAACUAGCCAGGCGUGGUGGCACGUGCCUGUAAUUCCAGCCACGCAGGAGGCUGAGGCAGGAGAAUAGCUUGAA